ACUUAAGCAUAUCAAUAAGCGGAGGAAAAGAAACCAACAGGGAUUGCCUCAGUAACGGCGAGUGAAGCGGCAAUAGCUCAAAUUUGAAAGCUGGCGUCUUCGACGUCCGCGUUGUAAUUUGUAGAGGAUGCUUCGGCGAGGACUCCUGCCUAAGUCCCCUGGAACGGGGCGUCACAGAGGGUGAGAAUCCCGUACGUGGCGGGCGGUCCGAGCCAUGUGAAGCUCCUUCGACGAGUCGAGUUGUUUGGGAAUGCAGCUCUAAAUGGGAGGUAAAUUUCUUCUAAAGCUAAAUAUUGGCCAGAGACCGAUAGCGCACAAGUAGAGUGAUCGAAAGAUGAAAAGCACUUUGGAAAGAGAGUUAAAAAGUACGUGAAAUUGUUGAAAGGGAAGCGCUUGCGACCAGACUCGCUCGCAGUCGCUCAGCCGGCCUCUUGGCCGGUGUACUCUUCUGCGAGCGGGCCAGCAUCAGUUCGGGCGGCCGGAUAAAGGUGUCGGGAAUGUAGCACCCUCCGGGGUGUGUUAUAGCCCGGCGCGGAAUGCGGCCAGCCUGGACUGAGGAUCUCGCUUCGGCAAGGAUGCUGGCGUAAUGGUCGUAAGCGGCCCGUCUUGAAACACGGACCAAGGAGUCUAACAUCUAUGCGAGUGUUUGGGUGUCAAACCCAUGCGCGUAAUGAAAGUGAACGGAGGUGGGAACCCCUCACGGGGCGCACCAUCGACCGAUCCUGAUGUCUUCGGAUGGAUUUGAGUAAGAGCAUAGCUGUUGGGACCCGAAAGAUGGUGAACUAUGCCUGAAUAGGGUGAAGCCAGAGGAAACUCUGGUGGAGGCUCGCAGCGGUUCUGACGUGCAAAUCGAUCGUCAAAUUUGGGUAUAGGGGCGAAAGACUAAUCG
RNAcentral lists this ribosomal RNA (889 nucleotides) under Phyllosticta ampelicida. Its description in RNAcentral is "eukaryotic LSU rRNA". It matches the Rfam family "Eukaryotic large subunit ribosomal RNA", at positions 32 to 937 of the family's 3401-position model. Lineage: Eukaryota; Fungi; Ascomycota; Dothideomycetes; Botryosphaeriales; Phyllostictaceae. The record is from RNAcentral.